UGGGGAAUCUUGCGCAAUGGGGGAAACCCUGACGCAGCGACGCCGCGUGGAGGAUGAAGGUCUUCGGGUUGUAAACUCCUUUUCUCAGGAAAGAUGAUGACGGUACCUGAGGAAUAAGCCACGGCUAACUCUGUG
This 135-nucleotide ribosomal RNA is filed under the name uncultured bacterium. RNAcentral describes it as "partial 16S ribosomal RNA". It matches the Rfam family "Bacterial small subunit ribosomal RNA", at positions 355 to 507 of the family's 1533-position model. The record is from RNAcentral.